CAGUCGCCGCGGUAAUACAGAGGAUGCAAGCGUUAUCCGGAAUGAUUGGGCGUAAAGCGUCUGUAGGUGGCUUUUCAAGUCAGUCGUCAAAUCCCUGGGCUCAACCCUGGACAAGCAGUGGAAACUACCAAGCUGGAGUAUAGUAGGGGCAGAGUGAAUUUCCGGUGGAGCGAUGAAAUGCGUUGAGAUCAGAAAGAACACCAACGGCGAAAGCACUCUGCUGGGCCGACACUGACACUGAGAGACGAAAGCUAGGGGAGCAAAUGGGAUUAGAUACCCGCGUAGUCCCUGUCUCUUAUAC
This 301-nucleotide ribosomal RNA is filed under the name uncultured bacterium. Its description in RNAcentral is "partial 16S ribosomal RNA". It matches the Rfam family "Bacterial small subunit ribosomal RNA", at positions 509 to 807 of the family's 1533-position model. The record is from RNAcentral.